UCCAGACUCCUACGGGAGGCAGCAGUGGGGAAUAUUGCACAAUGGGGGAAACCCUGAUGCAGCGACGCCGCGUGAGUGAAGAAGUAUCUCGGUACGUAAAGCUCUAUCAGCAGGGAAGAAAAAAAGUCCUUCGGACUUUGGACGGUACCUGAUUAAGGAGCCCCGGCUAACUACGUGCCAGCAGCCGCGGUAAUACGUAGGGGGCAAGCGUUAUCCGGAUUUACUGGGUGUAAAGGGAGCGUAGACGGCAGCGCAAGUCUGGAGUGAAAGCCCGGGGCCCAACCCCGGGACUGCCCUUGGAACUGCAUGGCUGGAGUGCGGGAGGGGCAGGCGGAAUUCCUGGUGUAGCGGUGAAAUGCGUAGAUAUCAGGAGGAACACCGGUGGCGAAGGCGGCCUGCUGGACUGCAACUGACGUUGAGGCCCGAAAGCGUGGGGAGCAAACAGGAUUAGAUACCCGUGUA
RNAcentral lists this ribosomal RNA (462 nucleotides) under uncultured bacterium. RNAcentral describes it as "bacterial SSU rRNA". It matches the Rfam family "Bacterial small subunit ribosomal RNA", at positions 330 to 792 of the family's 1533-position model. The record is from RNAcentral.